UGGGGAAUAUUGGACAAUGGGGGCAACCCUGAUCCAGCAAUGCCGCGUGUGUGAAGAAGGUCUUCGGAUUGUAAAGCACUUUCGACGGGGACGAUGAUGACGGUACCCCGUAGAAGAAGCCCCGGCUAACUUCGUGCCAGCAGCCGCGGUAAUACGAAGGGGGCUAGCGUUGCUCGGAAUGACUGGGCGUAAAGGGCGUGUAGGCGGUUUACACAGUCAGAUGUGAAAUCCCCGGGCUUAACCUGGGAGCUGCAUUUGAUACGUGUAGACUAGAGUGUGAGAGAGGGUUGUGGAAUUCCCAGUGUAGAGGUGAAAUUCGUAGAUAUUGGGAAGAACACCGGUGGCGAAGGCGGCAACCUGGCUCAUGACUGACGCUGAGGCGCGAAAGCGUGGGAGCA
This 398-nucleotide ribosomal RNA is filed under the name uncultured bacterium. Its description in RNAcentral is "partial 16S ribosomal RNA". It matches the Rfam family "Bacterial small subunit ribosomal RNA", at positions 355 to 770 of the family's 1533-position model. The record is from RNAcentral.